Molecule: ribosomal RNA, 700 nt
Filed under: uncultured bacterium
Lineage: Bacteria
Description: bacterial SSU rRNA
Rfam family: Bacterial small subunit ribosomal RNA
Source: RNAcentral
UCAGGCCUAACACAUGCAAGUCGAACGAAGUAGCAAUACUUAGUGGCAGACGGGUGAGUAACAUGUGGGUAUCUACCCUUUGGCCUGGAAUAACACGAGGAAACUUGUGCUAAUACCGGAUAAGUCUUUACGGAGAAAGCUUUAUGCACCAUUGGAUGAGCCCGCACUUGAUUAGUUUGUUGGUGGGGUAAUGGCCUACCAAGACUGUGAUCAAUAGCUGAUUUGAGAGGAUGAUCAGCCACAUUGGGACUGAGACACGGCCCAAACUCCUACGGGAGGCAGCAGUGGGGAAUCUUGCACAAUGGAGGAAACUCUGAUGCAGCGAUGCCGCGUGAGUGAAGAAGGCCCUUGGGUUGUAAAGCUCUUUCGUCGGGGAAGAAAAUGACUGUACCCGAAUAAGAAGGUCCGGCUAACUUCGUGCCAGCAGCCGCGGUAAUACGAAGGGACCUAGCGUAGUUCGGAAUUACUGGGCUUAAAGAGUUCGUAGGUGGUUGAAAAAGUUGGUGGUGAAAUCCCAGAGCUUAACUCUGGAACUGCCAUCAAAACUUUUCAGCUAGAGUUUGAUAGAGGAAAGCAGAAUUUCUAGUGUAGAGGUGAAAUUCGUAGAUAUUAGAAAGAAUACCAAUUGCGAAGGCAGCUUUCUGGAUCAUUACUGACACUGAGGAACGAAAGCAUGGGUAGCGAAGAGGAUUAGAUACCC